Molecule: ribosomal RNA, 502 nt
Filed under: uncultured bacterium
Lineage: Bacteria
Description: partial 16S ribosomal RNA
Rfam family: Bacterial small subunit ribosomal RNA
Source: RNAcentral
GACGAACGCUGGCGGCGUGCUUAACACAUGCAAGUCGAACGGUGAAGGGGUCUGCUUUUGUGGGCCCUGGAUGAGUGGCGAACGGGUGAGUAACACGUGAGUAACCUGCCCCCUUCUUCUGGAUAACCGCAUGAAAGUGUGGCUAAUACGGGAUAUUCUGGGUCUGUCGCAUGAUGGGUCUGGGAAAGAUUGCGCCUUUGGGUGUUUUUGGUGGGGGAUGGGCUCGCGGCCUAUCAGCUUGUUGGUGGGGUGAUGGCCUACCAAGGCGGUGACGGGUAGCCGGCCUGAGAGGGUGGACGAUCACACUGGGACUGAGACACGGCCCAGACACAUACGGGAGGAAGCAGUGGGGAAUAUUGCAGAAGGGGCGAAAGACUGAUGCAGCGACGCCGAGUGAGGGAGGGAGGCAUUCGGGAUAUAAACCUCUUUCGCCAGUGAAGCAGGCAAGCUCCUUGUGAGUGGGUUGACGGUAGCUGGAUAAGAAACGCCGGCUAACUAAGUG